This is a long non-coding RNA of Bubalus bubalis (water buffalo), 335 nucleotides long. RefSeq lists it as uncharacterized. NCBI's taxonomy places the organism in Eukaryota, Metazoa, Chordata, Mammalia, Artiodactyla, Bovidae. The record is from RefSeq and is a predicted model, not a curated record. The transcript has 2 exons.
CAUUUUACAGAACAAACUUGAAACUGGCUAUUAAUGAAGCUCUGAAAGUAAUGGAAAUGUAGCAUUGCUUAAUUUCAAAUAAAAGAUAAAAAGUUGUGGACCUACCUCAAUAGCUUUUGCAGCUUGUUCUUUUGUUUCAAAUUCCACGAAGGCAAAUCCCUUUGGGUCCCCAGUAGAUUUAUAAUGUGGUAUACUUAUAUAAACAACAUUGCCACAUUUCCCGAAUACUCUCUCAAUCCAGCUGUGGUUAACAUUUUUGGGAAGUAAUUCCUAUGAUAAAAUAGUAAUAAUAAAUUGUUAAAAACCUUAACUGAAAAUAAAGCUUUACUUAAAUU